UCCUCUCCUAGAGGACUGAGGCUUGAUUC
Molecule: non-coding RNA, 29 nt
Filed under: Rattus norvegicus (Norway rat)
Lineage: Eukaryota; Metazoa; Chordata; Mammalia; Rodentia; Muridae
Source: RNAcentral